GUCUAUGACCACACCACCCUGAAUGUGCCCAAUCUUGUCUGAGCAGUGUUAGGCCUGGUUAGUACUUGGAUGGGAGACUUCCUAGGAAUAUCAGGUGCUGUCGGAG
RNAcentral lists this ribosomal RNA (106 nucleotides) under Pteropus alecto (black flying fox). The record is from RNAcentral. Lineage: Eukaryota; Metazoa; Chordata; Mammalia; Chiroptera; Pteropodidae.